This 860-nucleotide ribosomal RNA is filed under the name uncultured Bacteroidota bacterium. RNAcentral's name for it is "bacterial SSU rRNA". It matches the Rfam family "Bacterial small subunit ribosomal RNA", at positions 31 to 895 of the family's 1533-position model. The record is from RNAcentral. Lineage: Bacteria; Pseudomonadati; Bacteroidota.
GAACGCUAGCGGCAGGCCUACACAUGCAAGUCGAGGGAGAGGUUACCUUCGGGUAACUGAAACCGGCGCACGGGUGCGUAACGCGUAUACAAUCUGCCUUUCACAUAGGGAUAGCCCGAAGAAAUUUGGAUUAAUACCUAAUGGUAUAUAAGAGCGGCAUCGUUUUUAUAUUAAAGCUACGGUGGUGAAAGAUGAGUAUGCGUUCUAUUAGCUAGUUGGAGAGGUAACGGCUCCCCAAGGCGACGAUAGAUAGGGGUUCUGAGAGGGAUGUCCCCCACACUGGUACUGAGAUACGGACCAGACUCCUACGGGAGGCAGCAGUGAGGAAUAUUGGACAAUGGUCGGAAGACUGAUCCAGCCAUGCCGCGUGCAGGAUGAAGGUCCUAUGGAUUGUAAACUGCUUUUGUAAGGGAAGAAUAAGGGGUACGUGUACUUUGAUGACGGUACCUUACGAAUAAGCAUCGGCUAACUCCGUGCCAGCAGCCGCGGUAAUACGGAGGAUGCGAGCGUUAUCCGGAAUCAUUGGGUUUAAAGGGUCCGUAGGCGGGCUGAUAAGUCAGAGGUGAAAGCGCUUAGCUCAACUAAGCAACUGCCUUUGAAACUGUCAGUCUUGAAUGAUUGUGAAGUAGUUGGAAUGUGUAGUGUAGCGGUGAAAUGCUUAGAUAUUACACAGAACACCGAUAGCGAAGGCAUAUUACUAACAAUUUAUUGACGCUGAUGGACGAAAGCGUGGGGAGCGAACAGGAUUAGAUACCCUGGUAGUCCACGCUGUAAACGAUGGAUACUAGCUGUUUGGAGCAAUCUGAGUGGCUAAGCGAAAGUGAUAAGUAUCCCACCUGGGGAGUACGCACGCCAAGUGU